GAUGAACGCUGGCGGCGUGCCUAAUACAUGCAAGUCGAGCGAACAGACGAGAGUGCUUGCACUCUCUGACGUUAGCGGCGGACGUGUGAGUAACACGUGGGUAACCUACCUAUAAGACUGGGAUAACUUCGGGAAACCGGAGCUAAUACCGGAUAAUAUUUAGCUUCGCAUGAAGCAAUAGUGAAAGACGGUUCUGCUGUCACUUAUAGAUGGACCCGCGGUGUAUUAGCUAGUUGGUGAGGUAACGGCUCACCAAGGCAACGAUACAUAGCCGACCUGAGAGGGUGAUCGGCCACACUGGGACUGAGACACGGCCCAGACUCCUACGGGAGGCAGCAGUAGGGAAUCUUCCGCAAUGGACGAAAGUCUGACGGAGCAAUGCCGCGUGAGUGAAGAAGGUUUUCGGAUCGUAAAACUCUGUUGUAAGGGAAGAACAAGUACGUUAGUAACUGAACGUACCUUGACGGUACCUUACCAGAAAGCCACGGCUAACUACGUG
RNAcentral lists this ribosomal RNA (499 nucleotides) under uncultured bacterium. RNAcentral's name for it is "partial 16S ribosomal RNA". It matches the Rfam family "Bacterial small subunit ribosomal RNA", at positions 28 to 507 of the family's 1533-position model. The record is from RNAcentral.